UCUUAGAUAUAUAUAAACAAAACCAAAUAUGGAGUUUUCUAUUACAUUUACCUUUCUCUCGUUGAUGAUCCUGACCAAGUCGUUCGGAAUCGAUGGAACAAAUCAUUUUAUUUGCAAAACAAUUGAGGAGGCGUUUCAGAAAGUCAAAUUGACAGUGGCGAUGCUUCAAGUCACUCUACAAUACAGCACAUUCAAGGGAGCCAGGAAAGAGACAGGAAUACAAGGAAUGAAAGGAGAGAUAGGACCACCGGGAAAUGUGAAUUAUGAAGCUAUCGAUUUGAAAUUGGAAAGCGAGGUUGAUCAAAAAAUGCAAGAAUCAAUGAGAGAAUAUGGAUCAACAGUUGCAGAAUUACAAAAGAAGUUAGAAAGUUGAAACAACGACAAGAUUUGUGCAAGGUGCUCUACGCUGACAAAUGUUUCUGGUUCGUUCUUCAUAAUACCCAAGAUGUAACAUAUUCUCAAAUUAACGAACUUUGUGCUCAAGAAGGUGGAACGCCGGCAAACAUCUACGGAAGAAAUCAUUUUGAAGAGUUAAAUGCAUAUGUGGAUUCGAUCGCCCAGCAUAAAACGUUUUUCACUGGAAUGACCAUUAAUAACUCGAACAAAAUCAUCACGAUGAAUAACGGGAUUAAAGCAAGUUGGACUGUUGCAGAUAUGAAGUGGUACCCCAAUCACCCGUCAGGCAAUGCCGACUGGACUGUACUUGCUAUUCACACUGACCGCAAUCCAGGGGCUUCACAAGGAAUGCACAACUGGCCUAAAAGUUAUAGGAGGCAUGGAGUUUUUGUGAAAAAUAAACACCAUAAAAACUGAUGAGUGAUAACACUUGAAAUUAUUCUGAAUUUACAAGCAGAAUAAAGCAAAAGUUGAAAGUUUGAAUAUAAUAGCAGCAACAACUUAAUCACUUUUUUCUAAUUUGUAUUAUAUAAUCGUAAAUAAAAAUUUUAUCACCAAUACAUAUUU
Styela clava is the source of this 963-nucleotide non-coding RNA. The record is from RefSeq and is a predicted model, not a curated record. NCBI's taxonomy places the organism in Eukaryota, Metazoa, Chordata, Ascidiacea, Stolidobranchia, Styelidae.